RNAcentral lists this unclassified non-coding RNA (80 nucleotides) under Pseudomonas granadensis. Lineage: Bacteria; Pseudomonadati; Pseudomonadota; Gammaproteobacteria; Pseudomonadales; Pseudomonadaceae. The record is from RNAcentral.
GAGUGAGCCUGCUCGCGAUAGCGGUGCAUCAGUUGCCAUUUAUGGUGAAUGGUAUACCGCUAUCGCGAGCAGGCUCACUC